This 328-nucleotide unclassified non-coding RNA is filed under the name Hevea brasiliensis (rubber tree). The record is from RNAcentral. Lineage: Eukaryota; Viridiplantae; Streptophyta; Magnoliopsida; Malpighiales; Euphorbiaceae.
GGAAAGCGGUAGCCAUAGAAGCUGAGGAGGUACUUGUUGAGGAGCAGAACACCAAUGUUUGAGAAGUACCAUGAAGCAAUGAUCAAGGCCGUUAAAAUAUUAGGAGAGAAAUUUGAUCCGGGGGUGGAGUAAGCAUUAUUCCGUACAUCACCAGGUGGGGUAGCCGGAAUGUCAAGAACUUGGUCAUUGGUGGUAGCCAAGGUGGUGGAGUUGGCAUCCAGCCUGGGGUUGCUCAUUCUCCUCGUAGCCCAUGUCUGUGCCUCCACCAUCUCCGGCCAAAGGGGCAAAAUGGGUAAUAGAAAAAACUCCUCUCUCACUAAAAUGUGGG